GAACGGGUGUCUCAGUGUCUCAAUGAGGGGGGUACGUAAUUUCUCAAAAGGCUCCUUUCCUCCCCCAACAAGGAAAAAGAAAGGGAAAGAGAAAAAGAAAAAGAAAAAGAAAAAAAAAGGAAACAAGAAGCAAGAAGCAAGAAAACUGGAGAAAGAGCGAAACGAAAACAAAAACGUAAACAAACCAACGAGAGACGCGUGGUUGUGGG
This 209-nucleotide non-coding RNA is filed under the name Palpitomonas bilix. The record is from RNAcentral.